UUCGAUUUGGGUGGCGGACGGGUGAGUAACGCGUAAAGAACUUGCCUCACAGCUAGGGACAACAUUUGGAAACGAAUGCUAAUACCUGAUAUUAUGAUUAUAGGGCAUCCUAGAAUUAUGAAAGUUAUAUGCGCUGUGAGAGAGCUUUGCGUCCCAUUAGCUAGUUGGAGAGGUAACGGCUCACCAAGGCGAUGAUGGGUAGCCGGCCUGAGAGGGUGAACGGCCACAAGGGGACUGAGACACGGCCCUUACUCCUACGGGAGGCAGCAGUGGGGAAUAUUGGACAAUGGACCGAGAGUCUGAUCCAGCAAUUCUGUGUGCACGAUGACGUUUUUCGGAAUGUAAAGUGCUUUCAGUUGGGAAGAAAAAAAUGACGGUACCAACAGAAGAAGUGACGGCUAAAUACGUGCCAGCAGCCGCGGUAAUACGUAUGUCACGAGCGUUAUCCGGAUUUAUUGGGCGUAAAGCGCGUCUAGGUGGUUAUGUAAGUCUGAUGUGAAAAUGCAGGGCUCAACUCUGUAUUGCGUUGGAAACUGUGUAACUAGAGUACUGGAGAGGUAAGCGGAACUACAAGUGUAGAGGUGAAAUUCGUAGAUAUUUGUAGGAAUGCCGAUGGGGAAGCCAGCUUACUGGACAGAUACUGACGCUGAAGCGCGAAAGCGUGGGUAGCAAA
Molecule: ribosomal RNA, 673 nt
Filed under: uncultured Fusobacteriota bacterium
Lineage: Bacteria; Fusobacteriati; Fusobacteriota
Description: bacterial SSU rRNA
Rfam family: Bacterial small subunit ribosomal RNA
Source: RNAcentral